Molecule: transfer RNA, 57 nt
Filed under: Muntiacus reevesi (Reeves' muntjac)
Lineage: Eukaryota; Metazoa; Chordata; Mammalia; Artiodactyla; Cervidae
Also listed under: 2 other names
Rfam family: tRNA
About the family: Transfer RNA (tRNA) molecules are approximately 80 nucleotides in length.
Source: Rfam by way of RNAcentral
UGGCUCAGAUGGUAAAGAAUCUGCUUGCAAUGCAGAAGACCCAGGUUUGAUCCCUGG